GACGAACCGUGCGAACGUUAUUCGGAAUCACUGGGCUUAAAGCGCGUGUAGGCGGGAGGGCACGUCCGUCGCUGAAAUCCCCCGGCUCAACCGGGGAACGGGCGCGGAUACGACCUUCCUUGAGGGGCGUAGGGGGACCUGGACCUUCCGGUGGAGCGGUGAAAUGCGUUGAGAUCGGAAGGAACGCCCGUGGCGAAAGCGAGGUCCUGGACGCCUACUGACGCUGAGACGCGAAAGCCAGGGGAGCGAACGGG
Molecule: ribosomal RNA, 254 nt
Filed under: uncultured bacterium
Lineage: Bacteria
Description: partial 16S ribosomal RNA
Rfam family: Bacterial small subunit ribosomal RNA
Source: RNAcentral